GAUGAACGCUGGCGGCGUGCUUAACACAUGCAAGUCGAACGGAGUGGCGAACGGGUGAGUAACACGUGGGUGACCUGCCCUGCACUUCGGGAUAAGCCCGGGAAAAUGGGUCAAAUACCGGAUAGUGUGGGAUGGGCCCGCUGCCUAUCAGCUUGUUGGUGGGGUAAUGGCCUACCACGGCGGCGACGGGUAGCCGGCCUGAGAGGGUGGACGGCCACAUUGGUACUACGGCACGGCCCAGACUCCUACGGGGGGCAGCAGUUGGGAAUAUUGCACAAUGGGCGGAAGCCUGAGGCAGCGACGCCGCGUGGGGGAUGACGGCCUUCGGGUUGUAAACUCCGUUCACCAUCGACGCGGUAGAUGGAGAAGAAGCACCGGCUAACUACGUGCCAGCAGCCGCGGUAAUUC
RNAcentral lists this ribosomal RNA (408 nucleotides) under uncultured bacterium. RNAcentral describes it as "partial 16S ribosomal RNA". It matches the Rfam family "Bacterial small subunit ribosomal RNA", at positions 28 to 526 of the family's 1533-position model. The record is from RNAcentral.